UGGGGAAUAUUGCGCAAUGGGCGCAAGCCUGAUCCAGCCAUGCCGCGUGAGUGAAGAAGGCCUUCGGGUUGUAAAGCUCUUUCGGACGGGACGAGAUGGUUACGGUGAAUAACUGUGACUGAUGACGGUACCGUAAUAAGAAGCACCGGCUAACUACGUGCCAGCAGCCGCGGUAAUACGUAGGGUGCGAGCGUUAAUCGGAAUUACUGGGCGUAAAGCGUGCGCAGGCGGUUCGCCAAGUCAGGUGUGAAAUCCCCGGGCUUAACCUGGGAAUUGCGCUUGAAACUAGCGGGCUUGAGUGUGGCAGAGCGGGCUGGCAAGGCGCAU
RNAcentral lists this ribosomal RNA (327 nucleotides) under uncultured bacterium. RNAcentral's name for it is "bacterial SSU rRNA". It matches the Rfam family "Bacterial small subunit ribosomal RNA", at positions 355 to 674 of the family's 1533-position model. The record is from RNAcentral.